This 471-nucleotide ribosomal RNA is filed under the name uncultured bacterium. Its description in RNAcentral is "partial 16S ribosomal RNA". It matches the Rfam family "Bacterial small subunit ribosomal RNA", at positions 28 to 507 of the family's 1533-position model. The record is from RNAcentral.
GACGAACGCUGGCGGCGUGCUUAACACAUGCAAGUCGAACGAUGAAGCGGUGCUUGCACCGUGGAUUAGUGGCGAACGGGUGAGUAAUACGUGAGUGACCUACCUUUUACUCUGUGAUAAGCCUGGGAAACUGGGUCUAAUACCGGAUACGACCAAUCUCUUCAUGGGGUGUUGGUGGAAAGCGUUAUGGAGUGGUUUUAGAUGGGCUCACGGCCUAUCAGCUUGUUGGUGAGGUAAUGGCUUACCAAGGCGACGACUGAUAGCCGGCAUUAGAGGGUGAACGGCCACAAGAGUACUGAGGCACGGCGCAGUCGGCUAUGGGAGGCAGAAGGGGCAAGUAUUGUACAACGGGCGCAAGUGUGAGGAGGAGACGUCGCGUGAGUGAUGACGUCUUGCGGGGUGUAAACCUCUGUUAGCAUAGAAGAAGCGAUAGUGACGGUAGGUGCAGAGAAAGCGCCGGCUAACUACGUG